Molecule: ribosomal RNA, 440 nt
Filed under: uncultured bacterium
Lineage: Bacteria
Description: partial 16S ribosomal RNA
Rfam family: Bacterial small subunit ribosomal RNA
Source: RNAcentral
CCUACGGGUGGCAGCAGUAGGGAAUAUUGCUCAAUGGGCGAAACCCUGAUGCAGCAACGCCGCGUGGAUGAUGAAGGUUUUCGGAUUGUAAACCCCUUUUGUUAGAGAAGAUAAUGCCGGUAUCUAACGAAUAAGCACCGGAUAGUACCGUGCCAGAAGCCGCGGUCAGACGGAGGGCGCACGCGUUAAUCGGAAUCACUGGGGGUAGAGUGCGCGUAGGCGGGAUGGCAAGUCAGAUGUGAAAGCCUUGGGCUUAACCGUAGAAGUGCAUUUGAAACUGGUAGUCUAGAGUACAGGAGAGGUAGGUGGAAUUCUUGGUGUAGGGGUAAAAUGCGUAGAGAUCAAGAAGAAUACUCAUUGCGAAGGCGGCUUGCUAGAACAUAACUGACGCUGAGGUGCGAAAGCGUGGGGAGCAAACAGGAUUAGAUACCCUAGUAGUC